Molecule: ribosomal RNA, 594 nt
Filed under: Saccharomyces cerevisiae (brewer's yeast)
Lineage: Eukaryota; Fungi; Ascomycota; Saccharomycetes; Saccharomycetales; Saccharomycetaceae
Description: eukaryotic LSU rRNA
Rfam family: Eukaryotic large subunit ribosomal RNA
Source: RNAcentral
AUUGCCUUAGUAACGGCGAGUGAAGCGGCAAAAGCUCAAAUUUGAAAUCUGGUACCUUCGGUGCCCGAGUUGUAAUUUGGAGAGGGCAACUUUGGGGCCGUUCCUUGUCUAUGUUCCUUGGAACAGGACGUCAUAGAGGGUGAGAAUCCCGUGUGGCGAGGAGUGCGGUUCUUUGUAAAGUGCCUUCGAAGAGUCGAGUUGUUUGGGAAUGCAGCUCUAAGUGGGUGGUAAAUUCCAUCUAAAGCUAAAUAUUGGCGAGAGACCGAUAGCGAACAAGUACAGUGAUGGAAAGAUGAAAAGAACUUUGAAAAGAGAGUGAAAAAGUACGUGAAAUUGUUGAAAGGGAAGGGCAUUUGAUCAGACAUGGUGUUUUGUGCCCUCUGCUCCUUGUGGGUAGGGGAAUCUCGCAUUUCACUGGGCCAGCAUCAGUUUUGGUGGCAGGAUAAAUCCAUAGGAAUGUAGCUUGCCUCGGUAAGUAUUAUAGCCUGUGGGAAUACUGCCAGCUGGGACUGAGGACUGCGACGUAAGUCAAGGAUGCUGGCAUAAUGGUUAUAUGCCGCCCGUCUUGAAACACGGACCUCCUGUGUGAAGUGA